AUAUCCCCAGGGAAAGAAAGAAAGCAAAAAUAAAGAAAGAAAGAAAGAAAG
Molecule: non-coding RNA, 51 nt
Filed under: Eutreptiella gymnastica
Lineage: Eukaryota; Euglenozoa; Euglenophyceae; Eutreptiales; Eutreptiaceae
Source: RNAcentral